GGAAAGUGAAGUCCUAUCCCAUACCUGCCUGUCACCCUCUUUUUUCUUGAAAACGCACCCUGAGAGCAGCCCCUCCCGCUCUU
Molecule: unclassified non-coding RNA, 83 nt
Filed under: Mus musculus (house mouse)
Lineage: Eukaryota; Metazoa; Chordata; Mammalia; Rodentia; Muridae
Description: partial probably derived from hnRNA or mRNA fragment, 5' or 3' untranslated region
Source: RNAcentral